Molecule: transfer RNA, 72 nt
Organism: Ovis aries (sheep)
Lineage: Eukaryota; Metazoa; Chordata; Mammalia; Artiodactyla; Bovidae
Rfam family: tRNA
About the family: Transfer RNA (tRNA) molecules are approximately 80 nucleotides in length.
Source: Rfam
UCCCUGGUGGCUCAGAUGGUCAAGUGCCUGCCUGCAAUGUGGGAGGCCCGGGUUCAAUUCCUGGGUCGGGAA